UAAUACGUAGGUGGCAAGCGUUGUCCGGAAUUAUUGGGCGUAAAGGGCUCGCAGGCGGUUUCUUAAGUCUGAUGUGAAAGCCCCCGGCUCAACCGGGGAGGGUCAUUGGAAACUGGGGAACUUGAGUGCAGAAGAGGAGAGUGGAAUUCCACGUGUAGCGGUGAAAUGCGUAGAGAUGUGGAGGAACACCAGUGGCGAAGGCGACUCUCUGGUCUGUAACUGACGCUGAGGCGCGAAAGCGUGGGGAGCAAACAGGAUUAGAUACCCUGGUAGUCCACGCCGUAAACGAUGAGUGCUAAGUGUUAGAGGGUUUCCGCCCUUUAGUGCUGCAGCUAACGCAUUAAGCACUCCGCCUGGGGAGUACGACCGCAAGGUUGAA
This 379-nucleotide ribosomal RNA is filed under the name uncultured bacterium. Its description in RNAcentral is "bacterial SSU rRNA". It matches the Rfam family "Bacterial small subunit ribosomal RNA", at positions 521 to 898 of the family's 1533-position model. The record is from RNAcentral.